This 253-nucleotide ribosomal RNA is filed under the name uncultured bacterium. Its description in RNAcentral is "partial 16S ribosomal RNA". It matches the Rfam family "Bacterial small subunit ribosomal RNA", at positions 524 to 776 of the family's 1533-position model. The record is from RNAcentral.
UACGUAGGGUGCGAGCGUUAAUCGGAAUUACUGGGCGUAAAGCGUGCGCAGGCGGUUUGUUAAGACAGGCGUGAAAUCCCCGGGCUCAACCUGGGAACUGCCUUUGUGACUGCAUGACUAGAGUACGGUAGAGGGGGAUGGAAUUCCGCGUGUAGCAGUGAAAUGCGUAGAUAUGCGGAGGAACACCGAUGGCGAAGGCAAUCCCCUGGACCUGUACUGACGCUCAUGCACGAAAGCGUGGGGAGCAAACAGG